RNAcentral lists this ribosomal RNA (998 nucleotides) under Bradyrhizobium sp. RNAcentral describes it as "bacterial SSU rRNA". It matches the Rfam family "Bacterial small subunit ribosomal RNA", at positions 29 to 1226 of the family's 1533-position model. The record is from RNAcentral. Lineage: Bacteria; Pseudomonadati; Pseudomonadota; Alphaproteobacteria; Hyphomicrobiales; Nitrobacteraceae.
GCGAACGCUGGCGGCAGGCUUAACACAUGCAAGUCGAGCGGGCGUAGCAAUACGUCAGCGGCAGACGGGUGAGUAACGCGUGGGAACGUACCUUUUGGUUCGGAACAACACAGGGAAACUUGUGCUAAUACCGGAUAAGCCCUUACGGGGAAAGAUUUAUCGCCGAAAGAUCGGCCCGCGUCUGAUUAGCUAGUUGGUGAGGUAAUGGCUCACCAAGGCGACGAUCAGUAGCUGGUCUGAGAGGAUGAUCAGCCACAUUGGGACUGAGACACGGCCCAAACUCCUACGGGAGGCAGCAGUGGGGAAUAUUGGACAAUGGGGGCACCCUGAUCCAGCCAUGCCGCGUGAGUGAUGAAGGCCCUAGGGUUGUAAAGCUCUUUUGUGCGGGAAGAUAAUGACGGUACCGCAAGAAUAAGCCCCGGCUAACUUCGUGCCAGCAGCCGCGGUAAUACGAAGGGGGCUAGCGUUGCUCGGAAUCACUGGGCGUAAAGGGUGCGUAGGCGGGUCUUUAAGUCAGGGGUGAAAUCCUGGAGCUCAACUCCAGAACUGCCUUUGAUACUGAAGAUCUUGAGUCCGGGAGAGGUGAGUGGAACUGCGAGUGUAGAGGUGAAAUUCGUAGAUAUUCGCAAGAACACCAGUGGCGAAGGCGGCUCACUGGCCCGGUACUGACGCUGAGGCACGAAAGCGUGGGGAGCAAACAGGAUUAGAUACCCUGGUAGUCCACGCCGUAAACGAUGAAUGCCAGCCGUUAGUGGGUUUACUCACUAGUGGCGCAUCUAACGCUUUAGGCAUUCCGCCGGGGGAGUACGGUCUCCCCAUUUGCACUCAAAUGAAUUGACGGGGGCCCGCACAGGCGGGGGACCCUGUGAUUCCUUUGGAUUCUACCCUUACAACCGUACCCGCCCGGGGAAAGGCUAAGACCGGUCGCUGAGCCAUUACUGUCUCAACCCAAUAAGGGACUGGCUUUCCUCCAUUUACGGCGGGGAACUACCAGGGGU